This 113-nucleotide non-coding RNA is filed under the name Bacillus sp. (in: firmicutes). RNAcentral describes it as "Bacillus sp. SAM-I sequence". It matches the Rfam family "SAM riboswitch aptamer (S box leader)". Rfam says of the family: The SAM riboswitch is found upstream of a number of genes which code for proteins involved in methionine or cysteine biosynthesis in Gram-positive bacteria. The SAM riboswitch acts at the level of transcription termination control. The record is from RNAcentral. Lineage: Bacteria; Bacillati; Bacillota; Bacilli; Caryophanales; Bacillaceae.
CUCUUAUCCAGAGAGGUGGAGGGAAAGUGCCCUGCGAAGCCCGGCAACCGUCAAUUUUAUUGAAAAGGUGCCAAUUCACUCAAAGCUGCUAUUAAUGCUUUGAAAGAUGAGAG